GGCUGCCUACCCCCGUUCAUCCUCUCUACCUCCUGUUAACCACCCGCUCGUCCGUCGUACCCGGGCCCAUGUACUGCACCACAGGCACAUGCGCCAGCGACCGAGACGUCCUGAGCCACACCGCCACCACCACCGUUUUGGCAUGCCACCACCGGGCCGUCCACUCUUCCGCAGUACGUGACCCCGACAGGUAUGUGAACGUUACUUAGUCAUACACCAUUGAUGAAAUAUUAUCCAAUUCACCUUACUAACUAAUAAUUUAUUAACAUAGCCCCGCAGAUGUACGAAGCUUACAAUGGAGCGGGGCCAUCUUCUGCUGCACCAGGCACAUAGCUGCGCC
Molecule: long non-coding RNA, 340 nt
Filed under: Setaria italica (foxtail millet)
Lineage: Eukaryota; Viridiplantae; Streptophyta; Magnoliopsida; Poales; Poaceae
Description: long non-coding RNA (SITA_LNC006480)
Source: RNAcentral